AGUAACGCGUAAACAACCUGCCCUUCGGAUGGGGACAACAGCUGGAAACGGCUGCUAAUACCGAAUACAUUCUUUUCAUCGCAUGGUGAGAAGAAGAAAGGACGGCCUCUACACAAAGCGGUCGCCGAAGGAGGGGUUUGCGUCUGAUUAGCUAGUUGGAGGGGUAACGGCCCAACAAGGCGACGAUCAGUAGCCGGUCUGAGAGGAUGAACGGCCACAUUGGGACUGAGACACGGCCCAGACUCCUACGGGAGGCAGCAGCC
This 263-nucleotide ribosomal RNA is filed under the name uncultured Megasphaera sp. Its description in RNAcentral is "partial 16S ribosomal RNA". It matches the Rfam family "Bacterial small subunit ribosomal RNA", at positions 109 to 355 of the family's 1533-position model. The record is from RNAcentral. Lineage: Bacteria; Bacillati; Bacillota; Negativicutes; Veillonellales; Veillonellaceae.